GCACCAUUAUCCGGGGCUCGUGGACACAGCAAAGCUCGUGGACGCAGUAAAGUCCGAGAAUUGGCACCUGGGUGCUUCUGAUUCUCGAGUCUGCAUCUCCUGGAAUUCCGAUGCAGAGCUCUCUAGGUCCCCGGCACUUCAGGUGCUAAGCAUAAGCUCCUAGGCGUCGCACCUACCACCUCAAAUAUUUCUCAGAUAUUAAGAUCCUACCAUGUGGUCCUCUGAGCUUCGUCUCUGGUGUCGGCUUCUUCCAUUUACUCCAACCAGGAGCACAUUCGCUCAUUCAGCCAGACAUGGCAGCAUUUCAGGACUUGGGGGGGGGGGGUGAGACAGGGUCUUGUUAUGUAGUCCAAUCUCUCUUGAACUCACUAUGUAGUCCAGAAUGGCCUGAACUUGCGAUUCCCCUCCCUCAGCCUCCCGAGUUUCGAGAUUACAGUUGUGUGGCACCACGCCUGACUGCAGUGUGAUCUUUUAAAAUCCAGACCUGCCUUGCUGGUCAACCAGGACCGCGUGUUCCUUCACGAGCCCGGAGCCCGACAGCCUCUCCUGCAUCCUCACGCCGGGCUCUGGCCACGCCCCCCUGCCAGGGGCUCACCCGCGCCCCUCCUCGGCAGCUGCGCCUCGCCGGGCCUCUCCGGGCCUCGCCGGGCCCCGGGAGGGGAAGGGGCUCCACCUGCGCGCCACCUGCUGGGCCGCCCGACCUCCCGCAGACCCGGCCAGACCUCGGCGAAGCUCACGCCUCCGGGCUGCACAUCCGCGCCGGCCGCAAGCUCCAGGACGCGGCGGCGAGCCUGAGCCGCUGCGCAUGCGCGCAGGUGCGCGUGCACGCAACAGCCCGCACGCACCGGCACGCACGCGCCCGGCCAGUGAGACUAGGAAGGACAGGUUUGGGUUUGGGGUUUUUUGUUUGUUUGUUUGUUUGUUUGGGGGGGCCUUCGCGCUGAGCUGCAUCCUCGGCCCUUUUUAUUUGCCGACAGAAUCUGGAUGAGUCAGUAAGUUGUCCUGGCGGGGCUUCUCCUUCCUCAGGCUCCCUCGUGCUGAACUCUGGGCGCGCGCCCAGCUGAGGACGUGGCCCGAGGGAGGGAGGUCAGCGGGAGCUUCACAACGUUUGGCCCUGGUUGUGCGCCCUGCAGGGUGUGCCGUGAAGCUGUUGGUGGUUCUGAGGGCAAUCAUAAGCCUGGGGAAGCGUGUACUGUACUGUGUAAUAAUGAAGACAGCAGUUAUCCGCACUUUGAAAGCAAGUUUUGCAAAAUAGUUACGCACUUCCUUUGAGUGAUGAGUUCUAAUAAGCCACAUCCUGUAGGACAUCAGCACACCUUUGGGGGCAACACAGGACUGAGAUGUAGCCUGCACAGAGGCUGUCCUGGACACAGAAGCAGGUGAAUUGCUGGCCCACAAUGCAGCCUCAUAGAUCUGUGCCGAGCGGAUCCAAGGGACCAGGCUGGUGAAUCUCAGGUUUGAAUCAUCUUUGAACCAACUCUGGGUCCCCAAAGUCCAAGGAUGUAGAAGGAAAAGCAGCUCCAGCUCAGACUCAGUUUCUCCUCCACUGAUGAUAGAUUCCUCUGACACCGUGUGGUGAGCUUUCCCUGAACGUGAGCAAGUGGCAGCUCCAUAGCCCACCUCAGUGGGGCGCUCUCUGGUUUGUUUUGUUUGUUUGUUUUUUGGUACCAGGGAUCGGACUUGGGUCCUUGCGCUUGUGAGGCAGGUGGCAGAACCACUGAGCUAAAUCCCCAGCGCUCUGGUUUGUUUUUUUAUUCCUGUGGUGCCAGGAUCCCUCAAGGCGGGUGCUCCACCACAGUGCCACAGUGAGUAGGGCAUCAGGGCCACUGUGAGGGUGCCAUUGCAAAACUGCCCCUCUGAUGGCAGCUGCAGGCCCUGGGUCAUCUCACCUACGCUUCUACCCAGGCUAGAAGUAGGGUUCCAUUAAUUUGCUCAACAGCUCACAGUACCCAGGGAAGCAACAUUUAAGGGUUUAUUUAUUCUCCCCUGGCACUGAGGAUUGAACCCAGCGCCUUCACAUUUAGCUUUCCCAGCCUUAGUCUAGUAAGUUGCCAAAUUGCCUAACCCGGGCUCUACCUUGCAAUCGUCUUGCCUCAGCCUCCCACAGUGCUGGGGUUAAAGUCAUGCAUCGCCAUGUCUGGCUUUACCAGUUUACUAUGAAGGACAGUAGGAAGGAGACAGGCGAAGAGAUGCCCAGGCGAGGCCUGUGGGAAAGGUACCCUCCGAGCACCUGUGCCUGCUGUCUCUAGCGCUAUCUGCUGGGUCUGAGAUGCCAAGUGAUGUGCACAGACGAAGCAGGGACCUAGCAAGGCCAUCAUCUGGCUUCCUCCGCGGCCCUUCCUCCUGCAUGCCGACAGACCCCUCUCUGAACUGGGUGCUCAUCAUCUGAACAGGGAAAGGGUGGGCCAGAGAAGUUCUGUGGGCUGGGGGAGAUCAGUUUCUGUGCCUGCCUUGGGGAGAGAAAAGGGCAGGCAAAGGGGGGUUAGGUCAGACUGCUUUCUAAGCCCCAAACACCUGACAUCGGUCUACUCAGGGCAAUGGGAGCAAUAAGCCAGGGACCAGGGAUGAAAACCAAAAGCUAUCUGUACCACAAAGUAAAGAACAAAAACAGGCUUCUGAGAGGCGUAAUUACACCUCCAGAUGGCUUGGUCAUCUCCUGCCUAAGUUCUGGGCUUCCAGCCUUCUGGCUUGGCCUGUGAAUUUCAAUUUGUCUGCCCCUACUACUACCAGAGCCACUGCUUUAAAACAGAUCUUUUACUAGGCCAGGCACAAGGACACAGGCCUGUAAUCCCAGUGACUCUGGAGGCUGAGGCAGGAGGAUCACAAGUAAAAGCCCAGCCUGGACAACUUAACAAGACCCUAUCUUAAAAUAAAAUAAAAUAGAUCAAAAGGGCCAGGGUGCAGCUCAGCUCAGCAUCUGCCUUGCAUGCACAAGACCCUGGGCUCAAUCCCCAGUACCACACUAAAUAAACACAUGAAAUAAAACCGUUUACUAUAUUUAUUGUACAAGAAUAAUCUCCUAUUGGUUGUGUUCUCUGGAAAAAUGCACAUUGCCAUUACCCCAG
RNAcentral lists this long non-coding RNA (3065 nucleotides) under Heterocephalus glaber (naked mole-rat). RNAcentral describes it as "lncRNA (ENSHGLG00000046880.1)". Lineage: Eukaryota; Metazoa; Chordata; Mammalia; Rodentia; Bathyergidae. The record is from RNAcentral.